GGGGAAUUAGCUCAGUGGUAGAGCGCUUGCUUAGCACUAACGAUUGCAUGAGGCCGUGGGUUCAAUUCCCACAUUCUCCA
RNAcentral lists this transfer RNA (80 nucleotides) under Malassezia obtusa. Its description in RNAcentral is "tRNA-Ala". It matches the Rfam family "tRNA". From Rfam's summary of the family: Transfer RNA (tRNA) molecules are approximately 80 nucleotides in length. Their secondary structure includes four short double-helical elements and three loops (D, anti-codon, and T loops). Lineage: Eukaryota; Fungi; Basidiomycota; Malasseziomycetes; Malasseziales; Malasseziaceae. The record is from RNAcentral.